AACCAAGAGGGCUGAGUUAUAUAUCAACGGUAAAAAGACGGUUAAAUAAUCAUAAAAGUUUAUUUAAUAUUUAUUAAAAGGUAGAAUUUGAAUAUAAAUAUAUAAUUUAUUUAUUACUUAAGUAUUGAGGCCGUGAUAGUCUUGAGGGAAACUGGGAUUAGAUACCCCAUUAUUCUUGAUUGUAAAUAAAUAAAGAUUUACCAGAGUACUACGAACUAUAAAAAUUUAAAACUCAAAGAGCUUGGCGGUGUUUUAGACCUUUCAGGGGAACCUGUCUCAUAAUCGACAGUCCACGCUAUACCUAACCUUCUUUUGCCAUCAGUUUGUAUACCGUCGUCGUCAGGUAACUUUUUAAAAUUUAGAAGUUAGCAAAUGAACUACGUAAGUUUAAACGUCAGAUCAAGGUGCAACUCAUAUGAAGGUGAGGAUGGGUUACAAUUAUUCAAUCAUAACUACGAAAUAAUUAUUUGAAUAAAUAAUCAUUGAAGGAGGACUUGAAAGUAAAAUAGAUUAUAUAAAUAUCUUGAAUAGGGCUCUGAAACGUGC
This 546-nucleotide ribosomal RNA is filed under the name Timbellus fulgens. RNAcentral's name for it is "Pterynotus fulgens partial 12S ribosomal RNA". Lineage: Eukaryota; Metazoa; Mollusca; Gastropoda; Neogastropoda; Muricidae. The record is from RNAcentral.